Equus caballus (horse) is the source of this 7340-nucleotide non-coding RNA. The record is from RefSeq and is a predicted model, not a curated record. Lineage: Eukaryota; Metazoa; Chordata; Mammalia; Perissodactyla; Equidae.
CGCGGCGGGCCCGGGGCCGGGGUGGGCGAGCUGCCGGGGACGGGCCGGGGGCGGCGGACGCGAGGGGCGAUGCGGGGUCCGAGGGUGCGGGCGUCUCCAUCGGGGACCCCCAUUCGCCACCCACGGCGUCCCCACCGGGGUCCCCGCCGCCCUCGGCCUUGCUGGGGCCGGCAGGCCUCGGACCGUUAGCUGGCGUGGAGUCGCCACGCUUAGACCCCAGAGUUCCAGGCAAGCGGCUUCGGGGGUGGGGUCGUUUCUGCCCUGAGAGGCUCGCGGGGCCCGUGAUGAGGGGUGGUCUGGGGCCGGCUCUGCAGCAGGGGGCGCCAGGAUCCUAGAGGAUGCUGCCACCCUGAAUCAAUCGAGGAGGCUCUAAAGUUCUCCAGAACCAACUAGAACCCCUGCGAUAUUUUCAGGGAUGCGAAUGCCACAGGUCUGGGUUGGGUAAGAUGCAGCCUCAGGAUGGGAGACCCCACCUCUAGCGCUGCAGACCCCCUUAGUGGGUGGAGCCCCCAUGCCGCGCGCUUGGAAAGGCUUCCCGCCCUCAGGGUCUCCAGUCUCCCACCCGUGCCCCGCCAGCCAGACGAGGGUGCCCCCUCCACCCAGCUUCUCUGUGCACUGCUCCCGUUAAAUUCCCUGGGGAGGAAAAAAAAAAGCAAACAAAUUCUCCGGGGAGGAAAAACCUGGAGUCUAAUUAGCGUUUAAGCUUCUCAUCGAGAAAUCGUUUAUCCUAUGCUUCCGGGCCAGCGUGGAUGGAGGGAGAGAAGGCGCCGAGGGUUUGGGCAGGUGGGAUUCAGGGAGAGCACUGAGCAGUGGGGGGGACAUCCACCUUUGGUUGAGGCCCCCCCUGCACAGGUUGUUGGCUUCCCCUCUCAGACCAGCAAGGUGGGGGGGGGGGUCGGAUUUAACCAUCUGACUCAGACCCCCUGGAGGGGAGACAGGCUGUGCCUCUCGUGAUGCUCCUGGACCCUCGCGCUAUUGCUGGGUUCCCGAGGCCUGGACCCUGACUGUUGGUCUGUGUCACCCGCUCUCCCACCCCAGGCGUGCCCUCUACUGUGCGGGUGCUGGCUCGGCCCUGGCCCUCAGGCUCCUGCGCGCAUGGCCCUGCCGGCCCUCUGCUGCCCCCUAUGGCCCUGCGGGGAAAGCUGCCCGUCCGGGCCUGGCUGACCCCCUCUCUGUGCAGUGGCUCAAGUGGACUCAACGGCCAGGUUCUUGGUGGGGCUCAAGGUCAUUCCCCAGGCAUUGGCCUGUGCUGAGGUGACUGACUCCAGCCCCAGGUGAGAUGUCUGCCCUGCUGCAGGCCACAUGCCCUGCCCAUGGCCUGACCCCACUCCGGUUGUCAGCGCCCACCUAGAAGCAGAGUAGAAAUGCACAGUAUCCCCUCCAGACAGCAGGGCAGCCAGGGCUCCAUGGGGCCCAAGAAGUCUUGGUUUACAAUCCAGACCUGUGACUGCCUUUGGGCAGACUCACGCGCCGUAACUGCUCUUAUCACACUUGUCACACACAGACACAGGCCUAGUUCUGGAUUGUGUGGUGGGACAGCAGGAUGACUCACGGUAGCUUUAAGAACACUUUCUCAGACUCACACACUCACACAGAGGCACACAGGCCUUUGUGCUCCCGCAGGUGGCACCCGAGGCCCCAGUUGGGUGCGGGUGGAAAAGAGGUCCCUCGAUCACUGGAGGUCACACCCAUGGAUGAAGGAGGGUGAGCGUGUACCCUGCCUGUGUGCGCUGGUGUGCCCAAAGUACACGAUGGACACACAGAUCCCGUGCUCAGACGUCUACACCAGGGACACCGUGGGUGUGCCGUGUGUCUCCUGGGUGCUCAUCGCUCUCUCUCCCCAGCAGUCUGGCCUCCACUCUGCCUUCAGGGGUGCUUCAUAUAGUUCUUCCUGGCACCUCCCGGGAUGUGACUCUGGGCCCCGUGGCCAUCAGGUCCCUCCUGGUCUCCUUCUACACCUUCCAUGACCCCCCCUGUGCUGUGCUGCUGGCCUUCCUGUGGGGCUGCAUGCAGUUGGCCAUGGGCUCCUGGGCUUGGGUGAGACUCUUUUCCUGCUGAGGUGGGAACUGUGUUUCUGCUCUUCCUGGGGCCCCGAGGCGCCUGCCUCCUGCGGCUGCCCCUGCCCUCAGCAUUUCCUUCUUUAUAUUCCGAGGGCUGUCCCUGUGUGUGGGGGGUGGGGGGGGUCGUGCCCACAGCCCUAAGCCCUACCCCAUUCUGCUUAAAUGCCAGGACACUUGGAGAAGUGCCCAGGCCCUCAGACCCUGGACUCCCUUUCCUGCUCUCCAAACCAGCCCACACAGGGCAUGUCACACCCUCAGCCCUUAACCCCAAUCCCAGCCACAACCCCCCUCCCAGCCCAUGUCCACCCCUGUCCUCUGGGACUGGGCAGAGCUGUGACCAACUUGGUAUUUCCUCUUGGCUGGCCAGGGUUCCUGCUGAAACCCUGCCCCACCAUCUCCAGCCCCGUCAGUCAUUAAAGGUCUCACCUCUGCUGCUACCGUCACCAUCGGCCUUGGGCAGAUCAAGGCCACCCCAUCACCGUCACCGCCCUUGUGCACGCGGAAGCCUGUCUUACAGACUCUGAGGAUUAGGACCAGGGACCAGCCGUCUGCAUCUAUCAAGGUUAUGCAGUUUUUCUUAAAAGAGAUCAUUCUACUAGGAAUCUGACUUCAGACAUCCUCUUGUCCUGGAGUCAAGAGAACGAAUCAAGGAAGGAAAAGGGGCUGAAAGAGAACGAGAAGAGGAAAUGUGAGUGUGGCGAGCGGAAGAAGAAGAGCCAACGGCAGAUAAGCGCACUUCAAGGGAACCAGAAACCCCGAGGAGAGCGCUGGUGUGGCCGCUGGCGCACGCGGCCGUGCAGGGACAGAGAUGAUGGUUAAGGUCCUGCUGGCAGGUGAAGGCUGUCCCGACAACAUGCCCAGGAAGUGGAGACCCGGUCCGUGGACGGCCCUGAGUUUGCUAGGCUGAGCCCUCCACUGGCUCCGGAAUUUGGAGGAGAGGGCUGGAGGUGCUCACAGGGCCGCCACGUGCCUGACCCCAGGAGGUGCAGGUCACACCGUGUUCUUUGUGAAAGGUAUCCCUGCAGGGGCUCCACAUGCUCGUCUUGCAGGACCCAGUCCUGCCCUCCCGACCCUCUCAAGGUGAACAGGAGCACCUCAGCUAGUCCAAGUGAUGAGACAGUGUGGGGAGGCCUGACUGACCCCCCCCUCCAUACCUCCCCCCCGAAUUCAGGCCUCCUGGGACAAGCAUGAAGGGGACAGAGGCUCCAUCUCACACGGCAGGGGCAGGACCGCUUACUCGGCCCAGCUCUGCAUCCCUGCGGGCGCUUAGUAGUCCCCGCAUCAAGCAGGCCACCCUGCAGGGUCCAAACCCGGCUGGAGCUGCCCGACCCCUGGGGUCCCUCACGGCACCGGUUCUCAGGCUGAGGUUCUAGAGACUUUCCAUAGACACAAAAAAAUCAAACAGAACACCACAAUUUGAAGGAAAUUCAAUGCAAUGCUAACUUGUGAUAUGUUAAAGAAUGAAGAUUAUAAAUUACUUACAUUUCCUUUAUUUUCCAAUUUUGUUAAUAAAUAAAACAAAUAUAACUUGUAUUAUACUUUAAAAAGCAGUGUCUUCUGGGAUCUUUUCUUGCUGGAAUAUACUAGCACCAUACAAUUUAUGAUCUUAUUAUUAAAGUAUAAACAUUUUCUUUUAUUUGAAAGGCACAGGCAAAGUUUGGUGGGGGUGUUAGAAAGAAAAAGGAUUUUUAGGGGCAAAGGGCUGAGCUCCAGGUCUGGCCCAUUUUCACUGUGCAGGUCUCAGGACGGGUCCUGCUGAGUGUGGGUGGAGGGCCGGGGUCCCCACGCCCAUCCUGGUCGUCAGACCUCCUGCUCCUCACAGGGCCCAGCGGGAGGGACUCAGUUUUCAUCCCGGAGUUACUCACAACAUUUUUCCCAGGUGGCGCCUUGCACAGAGGAGCUGGCCUGACAUCCCCUGGGACAGCAGAAAAGCUGUCCUUGCCCACUAUUCUGGGUGGUUCUGGACUUUAAGAGUCUCCUGUGUUGGACAGAUCCUGUGUGGCAAUAUCUCGCUUAGCCUGGUCCAAACUCCCACCUCCUGUCCCCGAAUGUGCGUCAGGAACCCAAGACGGGAGCGCGGAGCCCACCUGCUCUGCCCCCAGGCUCUGCUCAAGGUCAGGCCAGCAGCGCCUGCGGAGUUAAAGCUCCACACUCAGCCCCCUGGCCCGGUGUCUCCCUGGCUUGACUGACAGCGACUCUUUCAAUUAUGUGAGAGGAUAUCGCGCAUCUCCAGUGUUCCUAUGUGACCGUGAAAUACAGGUUCCUCACUGUGGGAAAUAGGACUUUCAAAUCUCUUCUUAAAUAACAUCUGAUUGUUGCAAUUUUUGCAUUUGAAAGUCCUUAGAAUUCUGAAAUUCUAACGAAUAUCUGCGGACCUGAAGGAAAACUGAGUUCACUCUAUCCGUGGGGCAAGAUCAUGAUUGAGAAAUGAGGAUCAAUAAAUGACUAAAAAAUCCUGUCUUUCAGUCGACCAUCUGUGCAGGGAGAGAACCACAGUGGGGUGCAGCAAUGUGUGCAGAAAGUCAGAGAGAGAAGGAGCGGUGAGAACACUGAACUCGAGAACAGCGCUGGCCUUUAGACAACAGCAUUCCGUGUCGACAGCACCCACGGGGUCAGUGUGAACCGUGGUAAGCAGGUGCAGUGGACUCUUAGGAAAAAGCUCCGUGAUCUAAUGCUGGUGAAAAGUAAUCGAACCUGAAGAGGGGGUCGUGGGCACCUCAAUUUGUAGCCAAAUCAGACAGGAGUUGUGGGUAAUGUGGGGACCCACUGCUGUGCCUGGCAUCUGAAGUGGGAUGGAAGCAGUCUUGUGGGACAGGGCUCUUAACCUGUGGGCUCCGACGCUGUCUCCGGGUAGACAGUGUCAGAAUCGAGUUAAACCGUAGGACGCCCAGCUGGUGUCACAGAGAAUUGCUUCGUGGGGGGAAAACCUCCUACAUUUGUUGACUAGAAGUGUCAGCAGUGACGCGUCCCCUGUGAGGAGUAAAGGAGACACACGGCAGAGAAACGCAGGAGGGGGAAAGACUGAGUUUCUCUAACACAAAUUGCAUUUUCAGAAAUGUCGUAUUCGAGUAAUUCAUAAAUCUCAAGAACGUUGCCCAUCACCAACAAUUAUAUAUUUUUUCUUGGCUUUUAGACAAAAUCAGACAUGUACAUUUAAUUUCAUUAAUAUUACUCCAUACAUAUUUGUAAAAAUUCCUGUUUAAUCUGUAAACUACACAAUGGUAGGGAAAACUGUCAUUUUAAUUUGACUUUGAUACUUUCUGAAGACCCAAAACUUUCAGCUUUAUUAAUACUCACCCUUCACUAAUACCUGAAAUAAAUACCCACUCAUUUUGGCUCAACAACUUAGAAUAUGUGGGUCCAGGCUGACGGAUACGCGACCUAUCGGCUGGAAUCGUGUGGAAUCAAGGGAACUGAGAUGGGAGUUGGCCGUGCCCUAUGCCCAUCCUAGGAGAUAGAUUCUUCACUUCUUGUUGCCAUCGUGAUUUACCGCACAGUGAAAUAUAAAAAUGUAGGUGUAUCAAAAAUCAUGAAGCUUAUUUUAAGUAUUUUUGAGAUUGAUAAUAUGGGAAGGUCAUAAUGCAAGUUCAUAAAUCGUACAUCUUUUUAAAGUCCUUAUUAAUGAACCUUCAGUGAAAUUUGGAUAUUUUUCAAAUAUAAAAAGCUCAAAUGGGUUUUAGUUUUUGAGUGACUGCUGCAGACGUAAUUAACCAGGUUUGAUUAACAAAGAAAGAAUAAAAGCGCUGCAGGCCAUCUCACAGCUGCCCGCUAGGUGGCGCCAUGUCACAGGAUCCGAAGUGCCCCCUCCUCCGGGUCCUGACGCGGGCCUCCGCCUCCAUCCUGCUUCCCGAGGUGCGGACCGGAAGGCGAGGACCCGUCUCUCCUGCGCCUGCUCAGUUCACUAAACAUUUCUGUCUCUUGACAACUAGGGAUAUGCUGACUGCCUGCUCCUCACAAGAUUAUGACAAAUCAUAGCAGUUUAAAUUCACAGGUAAUUGUUCAGUGUUGUUCUUCUGGAAACCUUUAACCCUGAAUAUGGCAAAACUCCACUACGCCCAACACCCAGAUCAAUGUUCCUUCCUGUAGGAACCUUUCCUUUCUCCCCAAACCAGUUCUUCAUGCUGCUCUCCAGGACCAUUUAUAAACAUCUCUGACGGACUCUGUAACCAUUUUUGUUGGGAUUGGUGUGGUCUUAAAUCUUUAAUGAGACAAACUUAGUAGAGAGCUGGGUCUGUGGCCUUGAUUUUGGACAUGAAAUACAAAGAAUACCCAGCAAAAAGACAACAAAGAAUUACUAUUGCAUUGACAUACAAUUUAAUUUAAUAAUUUGAAAUCAAUCCAGUUUCCUUUAUAUUUUCUCCAGACUUUCUUCUUCCCUACACUUUCCUGCUUCUCUAAACUCAAAAAUACAAUAUAUGAGUUCAACAGCAGACUAGAGGAAGCAGAAGAAAAGAUCCAUGAACUCAAAGACAGGACACGGGAACCCAUCCAUCCAGAGCAGCAAAAAGAAAAGAAGAAUGAAACAGAGUGAAGAUAGCUUAAGGAACUUACAGGACAACAUCAAGCAGAGCAAUAUUUGCAUUCUAGGGGUCUUAGAGGAGAAUAGAGAGAGAAAGGAGUAGAAAACUUAUUUGAAGAAAUAAUGGCUGAAAACUUUGCUAACCUGGGGGAGGAAAGAGACAUCCAGAUCCAGAAGUCCAGAGAGUCCCAAAUAAGAUGAACCCAGAGAGACCCACACCAAGACACAUUACAACUAAAGUGUCAAAAGUUUAAAGACAAGAAGAGAAUCUUAAAAGCAGCAAGAGAAAAAUAACCUGGUAUUACAAGGGAACCCCCAUAAGACUAAUAGCAGAUUUUUCAGCAGAAACUUUGCAGGCCAGAAGGGAGUGGCAUGAUAUAUUCAAAGUGUUGGGGGAAAAAAACACUAACAACCAAGAAUGAUCUACCAGCAAAGUUGUCCUUCAGAAAUGAAGGGGAAAUAAAGAGUUUUCCAGACAAGAAAAUGCUAAAGGAUUUCAUCACCACUAGAACAACUUUAUAAGAACUGUUAAAGGGACUUCUUUAAGCUGAAAUAAAAGUGUUAGUGUUAGCUUCAAAAAUAUAAUCAAUACACUAAGAAAGGAGAGAACACAAAGUCAUGUGGUAUGCUCAAUUAAUACAAGAGAAGGUGAUAAAAGAGAGGAAGACAAAAAAGAAACAUAGAUCAAUUGCAAAAAGUAGACAAUACAGGGGCUGGCCCGCUGGUGCAGUGGUUAAGUUCGCACGUUCUGUUUCAGCAGC